Molecule: ribosomal RNA, 253 nt
Filed under: uncultured bacterium
Lineage: Bacteria
Description: partial 16S ribosomal RNA
Rfam family: Bacterial small subunit ribosomal RNA
Source: RNAcentral
UACGAAGGGGGCUAGCGUUGCUCGGAAUUACUGGGCGUAAAGGGCGCGUAGGCGGACAGUUUAGUCAGAGGUGAAAGCCCAGGGCUCAACCUUGGAAUAGCCUUUGAUACUGGCUGUCUUGAGUUCGGGAGAGGUGAGUGGAAUGCCGAGUGUAGAGGUGAAAUUCGUAGAUAUUCGGCGGAACACCAGUGGCGAAGGCGACUCACUGGCCCGAUACUGACGCUGAGGCGCGAAAGCAUGGGGAGCAAACAGG